AUUCUAUAUAGUAGUAAUAUAAAAUUUAUAUAGUUGGUACUAUCUAGGGUUUUAACAAAAUCAGGCCUGUUUUUGUUUUAACAAAAUCAGGCCUGUUUUGGUUUCUGCUAUUUGCAUUGUGUAAGGUCUAUCAUGUUGGGAUAUCAAAAGAAAUUGUAACACUUCUCUACCGUGUAUCCAAGUUUGUAUUGGCUGCAAAUCUGAUAAAUAUAUCUGAAGAGGGUAAAAAUGGGAGCUUCCAUUCAUAGAUCAUCGAGAGACAGAGGCAUAGGAGGAAAAUCAAAUCUCCAGACUUAAAGUGUGAUGAAGUAUCAAAAACAGGAAAAACUGUGAUGCCUAUUGAAUUUCAGGUCAAUGACACUAAUUUAGCGGAAAUUGAAGGUGGAGAGGUUACUGUCCUGCAAUGGUCCAGAGUUUUUAAUGCAACUUAGCUUUCACGUAAAGGAUAGCAGUGAUUGAAAGUUUGUUCAGG
Molecule: long non-coding RNA, 472 nt
Organism: Solanum pennellii
Lineage: Eukaryota; Viridiplantae; Streptophyta; Magnoliopsida; Solanales; Solanaceae
Exons: 5
Source: RefSeq, a predicted model, not a curated record